RNAcentral lists this ribosomal RNA (245 nucleotides) under uncultured bacterium. RNAcentral describes it as "partial 16S ribosomal RNA". It matches the Rfam family "Bacterial small subunit ribosomal RNA", at positions 524 to 768 of the family's 1533-position model. The record is from RNAcentral.
UACGAAGGUGGCAAGCGUUACUCGGAAUGACUAGGCGUAAAGGGCAGGUAGGUGGUUUGGUAAGUCUGCUGUGAAAGCUCCCGGCUUAACUGGGAGAGGCCAACAGAUACUGCCAGGCUUGAGUAUAGGAGAGGGUACUGGAAUUCCCGGUGUAGCGGUGAAAUGCGCAGAUAUCGGGAGGAACACCAAUGGCGAAAGCAAGUACCUGGACUAUUACUGACACUCAGCUGCGAAAGCUAGGGGAG